GCUAGAGCUUCAUGGUGGAUAUCCCCAGUUAGACAGGGGAGUGUUAGCUGCUCGUAAUAAAUACGAUUUUUUCUUUAUCUUGGACAAAUAACUUUUUGAUAUUUAUUUUUUUCUAAAUCAUUAUUUACCAAAGUGAUUGUAAACGUCUCUAAAUUUGUUAAGUUAGGGGGCUGGAAUUUGCGAAGUAAAGUUACUUUUUGGGUUGACUGCGCGUGCUUGCUUCUCUCAGUUUCAGUACAGGAGGAACCAGCAGGUUUAAACAAAAGCAGGGUGAAGACAGUAGCGUUUUUGCGGUGAAUGUGAAAAGUAGCACACCUGCGACCUGGGCUCUCCCUGUUGUCCUCUUUCCACGUUUGGUGCAAUUGAAGUGCGCGUGGAAGAUGCUCUUUUUUUUGGUGACGUCAGACGAGCACGAGGAGCAGGCCUCUGCCCUGUUUUUAGUACAUCAGCGUUAAAAGGGUCACGGAGAGCUGGAGCCUAACCCAGCAACGCAGGACGCAAGGCUGGAGGGGGAGGAGGAGAUACAUCCAGGACAGGACGCCAGUCUGUCGCAAGGCACCCCAAGCAGGACUCGAACCCCAGACCCACCAGAGAGCAGGACCUGGUCAAACCUGUGCCACCGCACCCCCACUGGGGGCACUUUUCAGCUUUUCUGUAAUAUUAGGGAAAAGUGUUUACAGUAUUCAAAACAUUGAAAUUACAAUAAGUGGCAAAGUUUUGAGAAUAAGCACUCUUACAUUAGUUUUCAUAUCAUAAGUGAACAUCUGUCCUAACACGUCUUUGGGUGCAGCCAUUCUCAGUAACGGCGGAAGAAUAAUUCACUAAAAUGAAGAAGUCCCCAAAAAUACAAUACACAUUUGCUGAAACUUGGCGGAGCAAGUUUAAUUAGUAUUUUAACCAGCGUAUUCAGUAAUGUUAACAUAUUGUUAUAUACCACUUAAUAUGCAGUAGUCUAUUUACAAUUAUUAAUGGUUCACAGUCCGCUGUCAAUGAGGAGCUGUUGCAAAUAGUAAAUGUAACUUGACAGAUUGUGAGGCAAAUUAUAUCAAUAUUAAGUGUGAAAAAUUUGAAACUAAUGAGAACUGGGUGACAGAAAUGUAAGAUUAAAAUAAUUUACAAAUGUAAGUAUCAAUGCCCAGAUGUACUCUGAAAAGUUUAGUCAGAAAAUUAUGUAAGUUCACGUGAUGGCAACUAUACUUUAAUUUCUUUUAGGACGUUUUUCCUGGAGUCCUUAGGAAACAUGUUUGUAUGCAUAUGUAAAUACUUAGUCGAGUGUUAUAGACAUUUGAAAUGAACAUGAACAGCAUGUUUUCAUAAUGUAGAGGCAACCUACAAAAACACGGUGAAUAUA
RNAcentral lists this long non-coding RNA (1351 nucleotides) under Scleropages formosus (Asian bonytongue). RNAcentral describes it as "lncRNA (ENSSFOG00015024977.1)". The record is from RNAcentral. Lineage: Eukaryota; Metazoa; Chordata; Actinopteri; Osteoglossiformes; Osteoglossidae.